This 333-nucleotide ribosomal RNA is filed under the name Triticum aestivum (bread wheat). RNAcentral's name for it is "partial small subunit ribosomal RNA". Lineage: Eukaryota; Viridiplantae; Streptophyta; Magnoliopsida; Poales; Poaceae. The record is from RNAcentral.
AUGCCCUCGCUCGCCUCCCUCGGCCACACCAUCACGGAGAAGCUCACCCGUGACAACUUCCUGGUGUGGAAGGUCCAAGUCCUUCCGCACGUCAGGGCCGCGGCGAUGAUGGGCUACCUUGACGGCUCGAUCAAGGAGCCCGCUGCUGUCAUCGUCACCGAGAAGGAGACCAACGGGAAAAAGGAGACCACCGAGAUGCCCAAUCCAGAGCAUGCAAUCUGGGUUACUCAAGAUCAACAGGUCCUCACUUUUUUGCUCGCAUCUCUGUCCCGUGAAAUUCUGAUGCAGGUGUCCAAUCACACCACGCCGCGGGCGUCUGGCAAGCCCUGGUAG